UCUUCGGCUUCCGGUCAACGACGAACGGC
RNAcentral lists this small RNA (29 nucleotides) under Bombyx mori (domestic silkworm). Its description in RNAcentral is "ovarian small RNA-30130". The record is from RNAcentral. Lineage: Eukaryota; Metazoa; Arthropoda; Insecta; Lepidoptera; Bombycidae.